GCCCAGCUGUAAACACAUUAUUCGCCAGAAAAGUAGAGGCCACAGCCCGAAACUCAAAAGACCUGGCGGUACCCUACACCAACCUAGAGGAGCCUGUGCUAUAAUCGAUAACCCGCGAUCAACCUCACCACUUCUUGCAACUUCAGCCUGUAUACCGCCGUCGCCAGCCUGCCUCCCAAGAGAACAGAGCAAAAUAAUCCCCAUAAAUACGACAGGUCAAGGUGCAGCUAAUGAAGUGGCACGCAUGGGCUACAAUGCCAUACCACUGGCCAAAACAAAGUCCAAGCUGAAUUUAACCUCGGACAAAGCAGGAUUUAGUAGUAAGAUUAAUAAGAACAUUACUCUGAAUGCACGCGCUGGGGUACU
This 366-nucleotide ribosomal RNA is filed under the name Intellagama lesueurii (Eastern water dragon). Its description in RNAcentral is "partial 12S rRNA". It matches the Rfam family "Bacterial small subunit ribosomal RNA", at positions 843 to 1383 of the family's 1533-position model. Lineage: Eukaryota; Metazoa; Chordata; Lepidosauria; Squamata; Agamidae. The record is from RNAcentral.